RNAcentral lists this unclassified non-coding RNA (1675 nucleotides) under Amphimedon queenslandica. Its description in RNAcentral is "probable imidazolonepropionase, transcript variant X1". The record is from RNAcentral. Lineage: Eukaryota; Metazoa; Porifera; Demospongiae; Haplosclerida; Niphatidae.
GACUUUGCAAGAGUCGCCCACGUGCAAACACGUUUCCUUUGGAGCAUUAAAGAUGGCUGGUCUUCUACGAGUGAGAGGAGCUUCUCAAGUGGUUCAAGUGUGCAGAGAAGGAGAGAAGGUCCUUCGUGGAGCCUCCAUGAAGGAUAUAGCAGUGAUACAGGGAGAGAAUGGAAGAGGAGUUGGGCUGGUUGUGGACGGGAACGGACUGAUUGCAGAUUUGGGUUUUGAUGAUGUUUUGGAUGCUAAAUACUCUGACUGGUCAUUCAAAGAGACAGUCUUGGCUAAUGGAUCCUCUGUGUUGCCUGGUUUUGUGGACGCCCACACGCACCCAGUGUGGGUUGGGGACAGAGUGAAUGAAUUUGCUAUGAAAUUAGCUGGUGCCACAUACAUGGAUAUACAUAAAUCAGGUGGUGGAAUCAACUUCACUGUACAGUGCGUACGUAGUGCUACACACAAGGAACUCUAUGACCCGUUAGUCCAAAGACUCUGGUCAAUGAUGAGAUGUGGUACGACUACAGUUGAAGCUAAAUCAGGCUAUGGGCUGGAGACCGAGUCUGAAGUGAAGAUGCUUGAAGUUCUAAAUAAUGCCCGUCAAGAGCAUCCAAUGGAUCUUUCUAUAACUUACUGUGGAGCACAUGCAGUACCUAGAGGAUUAUCUUCUGACGAAGCAACACUAUCCAUUAUUGAGGAACAGAUCCCGACUAUCAGUGACCUUUCAUCAAAAGGUCAAAUCCACGUUGACAACAUUGACGUAUUUUGUGAGAAAGGUGUCUUUGAUCUGGAGCAGUCUCGAAGGAUACUAGCAGCCGGAAAGAGAGAGGGAUGGAGGAUAAAUUUCCACGGCGACGAACUUCACCCAAUGGGAUCUGGAGAGUUGGCUGGAGAGUUAGAAGCAGCUGCUGUGAGUCACCUUGAGGAGAUCAGUGAUGCUGGGAUUGCUGCUAUGUCCCAGUGUGGCUCCAUCGGUGUCCUUCUACCCACUACUGCUUACAUGUUACGACUGAGGCAGCCUCCUGCUAGGAAGAUGAUUGAAAAAGGCAUGGCUAUAGCACUUGGUAGUGAUUUCAAUCCCAACGCUUACUGUUAUUCAAUGCCAUUAGUGAUGCAUUUAGCUUGUGUUAAUCUUCGUCUCUCAAUGGAGGAGUCACUGGUUGCUGCUACCAUCAAUGCAGCUGCUGCUCUUGGCCUCUCUGAUGUAUGUGGUUCUAUUGAAGUUGGAAAAAAAGCCGAUUUAGUGAUACUCUCUGCUCCCAAGUGGGAGAAUAUCAUAUACCAGUUUGGUUGUCAUCGGGAUUGCAUUCAACAUGUUAUAAAGGAGGGUAACAUUGUUUACAGCACAAAAGAAGAAGCCAUUGAUGUCUCUUAGCCGUGUCUUAGCUAUGUACACAAUGCACUGGGUGUGAGUGUUUCUUUAGAAUUACAAAGAUGAAAAUAGCAGAAUAUUUUGUGUUUUUUUAUACUAAUGUUACAGAAACACUAAACAAUUCCUUCGUUAAUGUACAACUUUUUGUUACUUUAACAAAAAGAAAGAUAAUGCACGUGUAUGUACAUGUAUGUACUUAUAGUACAUGUAUUGUAUGUUAAUUCUUUGAACUGACUCACUCAUUUAUGUCAUCACUCACGUUUGCACUCAAUAAAAUAACAAUUUCAAAGUAUUGUGUAUAGUAAAAGUAAA